Triticum dicoccoides is the source of this 1052-nucleotide long non-coding RNA. RefSeq lists it as uncharacterized. The record is from RefSeq and is a predicted model, not a curated record. The transcript has 2 exons. Lineage: Eukaryota; Viridiplantae; Streptophyta; Magnoliopsida; Poales; Poaceae.
UCCCUGUCACCGCCGCCACACUAUCUCCCACCUCGGGAUCUCUCCAAGUCCAAAAAUCCCCCCCUUGUUUUUCCCCACCAAACCAAUCCUUCCCAGCCAUCCCGAUCCCCACCAAAUCCUCCUCCUUGCCUCGAUCAAGCCCAAAAGAGAGGAGCUCCUCCUCUGCUUUCUCCUCGAGCCCGCAGCAACAGCGGAGCGCCCGAGCGCUCCUCACCUUGCCGCUGCACCCCGCCUCCAUUCCGGCGCCGGGAACGAAACCCCCGCGCCCGGAUCUCACCGUCGUGUCAACCGUCCGAGCUCCGGUGAACCCAACCGCCUGAACCACGUCCCGUCUUCCUCGUCGACCACUGCAGCAGGAUCGGGUCCAGCGCCAUGGCUGCAGCCCGAGUCCUCCUGCCUCGCUCGAUCUGGACCAGGAGGGACCCGAGCAUCUCCACCGUCGCCGUCUCAAGCCACUGCCGCCACGAGCUCCAACUCCGGCCACCUCGUCUCCGCGGUGAUCUGACGCCUCGGGUUCCGUCCGACCGCCGGCGUCCCCUCCUAGCCUCUGCUUCUAUCACACACGCGCGCCUGCCUCCCUCGUCUCACAUGCGUCGUCGCGGGUCAACCGCGUCCGCCGCCAUGGGCUUCCUCAUGGAGCACCACCACCGCACCUCCUCGGAUCUGUCGGGUCCCGACCAUCCCCGUCGUUGCCGGAGCCCCAAGACAUCGCGCCCAAGUCCCACGUCGCCGGCAGCCGUUCUCGCCGUCCGUCGCUCUGAACCUGAUGUUGGUUCUGUUCUUCAGAAACGAGCAGCAACAGCUCACCCGCCCCUUCGCCUGUUGACCGAUUGGGCUGAUCACAUGGGCUGUAACUGCGGGUCGGCCUCUUUCCGCACGAAGGCCCAGCGUGCCCCUUCGUGGCCUACCCAUCCUCCUCCCCACUGAACUGGGCUUGGCCCAUGGUGAGAAACCCCCAGCGCCCAUGUCCUGUUUCGGCAUGUAGCUCUAAUUCGGCCCGAUAUGUUUUUUUCUGGUCCUGCGAAUUUGCUAAUAAUCCAGAGUUGACAGAA